UAAAUUAGGUAUAUCUGAUUUCUUUGAUAUGGGUAAGCUAGGGGAGUUCCACUUUCAAUCCUUUUCCAUAUGUGGCCUCUCUUAUAAUAAGAGGUUUGCUUUAUUAAUUCAUUCUUCCCUCUCAUUUUCAGUAUCAUCUUCUCUAUCACCCAAAGCCGAAAGCAUUUGGAAAUUUGAAAAUUUUCUCAGAACUUAUGGUGCUUAAGUGCUGCUGCUGCUGCUGCUACUGUUUUUGUGCUCAACAGCCUUCAGUGAAAGACAAAAGGAUUUAAGCAAAAAAAAAAGACAAAAGGAGGGGAAGUCGAGAUUUGGACAGAUAAGUAUACGAGAGCUUUUAUACGAGUGCUUUUAGCGAGGACAAAAAUGAAAGGAAGAGAAACGUAGAGCAUUUAUUCCUCUAGGUUGGGCCUACAUGAUCAAUUGGUAUGCAAGCCGAAGCCUGGUACGGCUGAGCCCAAGCAUGUGCGAUGCACGUGCAUGUAUGAACAGCUGUGAUUGUGGUUCGACUGAAAAAUUGGAAAAAAGAGACACCCAGGUGUGAGAGGAGAGGGAUGUAGAAUAUAUCUCUCUCGUGAAGAAAUAUUUGUAGAGAAUUAAUUUUAGUGAAGAAAUACUUGUAGAGAAUUAAUUUUUAGUUAAAUUAAAAGAAGUGUUGGGUAUAUAAAAACUUUAAUUAGAAAAGGAAAUUUUUUAUUCUCACAGAAGAACUUCUUUUAUUUCUGAGCCCCUGUUCCUCUCUCUUCUUCUUUGUCCGUCCCUUGCUCAGGCCCUAACUUUCAUCCACUAUAUUUCAGCACUCAGCAGUGACUCUCUCACCUCUCCCUCUCUUCUUGGCCCUCGAAAACGUCAUCACCUGCUCCUUUCUGAUCCCGAUGCUUAAAUGGUGGUGGUUGAGAUUUAUUUGAGAGCGUUGAUAAUGCUCGUGGUUGGAACUCUGUCAUGAAUCCAAUGGCCUUGAUAGCACUAAGGUAAAGUAAGUCAUUUCACUUGGCUCUGCAAUUUGACCUGUGACAUUGGUUUUAUGCUUGUGGACAUUUCAUACGGUUUCAUGCAUAAGAUAUUCAGCAUUGGAAUCCUAGACAAAGGGCAAUAGAUUGUUGGAAGUCAUCUUGGUUUUCGCUGUAUUCAGCAUAUAAAACCUUUCAUUACAAUCAUUGAGUGUUUCAUGAUCAAAGAAGUGACAAAAGAAUACAUUCGGGGUCCAUCAUUGAAUUCAAGCUGUAGCUUAGCACAUAUAUCAGUAGUUGCUGCUGCU
RNAcentral lists this long non-coding RNA (1255 nucleotides) under Phoenix dactylifera (date palm). Its description in RNAcentral is "long non-coding RNA (PDAC_LNC001630)". Lineage: Eukaryota; Viridiplantae; Streptophyta; Magnoliopsida; Arecales; Arecaceae. The record is from RNAcentral.